UGUGUCCAUCCACGGGCCUGAUCCCUGACUGCGUAGACGUUGCCAGAGACGGCUGCUUUAAAAACUGGUGCAGGAAGUGUGCUCCCGGCUUCUUCAUCAGCGGGACAGCUUGUGAUGUCUGCCCCCCACCUGGUGUAGGCUGUCAACUUGCUGAAUGUAAUUCUACCCAAGACUCGCGCUGUGUCACAUGUUUCCAUGGCUACGACUUAAAGGGUGGAAUCUGCACACAUUCCCAUGGCAACGAAUCAGUUACUUCCUCUACUCAGUG
Haliotis rubra (blacklip abalone) is the source of this 268-nucleotide long non-coding RNA. RefSeq lists it as uncharacterized. Lineage: Eukaryota; Metazoa; Mollusca; Gastropoda; Lepetellida; Haliotidae. The transcript is spliced from 3 exons. The record is from RefSeq and is a predicted model, not a curated record.